AGGGGAAUAUUGGACAAUGGGCGAAAGCCUGAUCCAGCCAUGUCGCGUGUGUGAAGAAGGUCUUCGGAUUGUAAAGCACUUUAAGUUGGGAGGAAGGGCAGUAAGCGAAUACCUUGCUGUUUUGACGUUACCGACCGAAUAAGCACCGGCUAACUCUGUGCCAGCAGCCGCGGUAAUACAGAGGGUGCAAGCGUUAACCGGAAUUACUGGGCGUAAAGCGCGCGUAGGUGGUUCGUUAAGUUGAAUGUGAAAGCCCCGGGCUCAACCUGGUAACGACAUCCAAAACGGGCGAGCUAGAGUAGAGCAGAGGGUGGUUGAAUUUCCUGUGUAGCGGUGAAAUGCGUAGAUAUAGGAAGUAACACCAGUGGCGAAGGCGACCACCUGGGCUCAUACUGCCACUGAGGUGCGAAAGCGUGGGUAGCAAACAGG
RNAcentral lists this ribosomal RNA (429 nucleotides) under Pseudomonadota bacterium. RNAcentral describes it as "Proteobacteria bacterium partial 16S ribosomal RNA". It matches the Rfam family "Bacterial small subunit ribosomal RNA", at positions 355 to 776 of the family's 1533-position model. The record is from RNAcentral. Lineage: Bacteria; Pseudomonadati; Pseudomonadota.